UUGAAACAUGUCGUUUUGUUUUUCUUUUUAACAGGAUGAUAGCAGAGAAGCAAUUGCAAUCACUUAGAAGUAUCUACUGACAUUGAAACAGGAUGAUAGCAGAGAAGCAUUGAAACAUGUCGUUUUGUUUUUCUUUUGGAAAUGAGGAGCACGGAGCACCCACAUUGAUAUUGAUUUGACUCGUGGGUAGCUUGUGAUGAUAGCAGAAAAGCAAUUGCAAUCACUUAGCUAUUUCCAACCAUGCAUCUAUCUCUUUGGAUAAUCAUGUAGACAGUUUAUAAGCUGAAUAUUUUUUGUUUGUUUGCUACUGCAUAUGGAAAGGGUCUUAGAAGAAAGAAUAUAAAGCAGUCUGAGAAGUGAGAAGUGCCCUGUUUUCCAAAGCAGCUUCUAUGACCAAGACGCUAACAACUUUGUUUUGGAAAUGGAUCAUUAUCUUAAAUAAUUCGUUUCAAAGUGUGUGCCUAAGUAGAUGAUGUUUUGUGCAGGAAAGGGA
Phoenix dactylifera (date palm) is the source of this 493-nucleotide non-coding RNA. NCBI's taxonomy places the organism in Eukaryota, Viridiplantae, Streptophyta, Magnoliopsida, Arecales, Arecaceae. The record is from RefSeq and is a predicted model, not a curated record.